CAGCCAUGCCGCGUCAGUGAUGAAGGCCUUAGGGUCGUAAAGCUCUUUCGCCUGUGAAGAUAAUAACGGUAGCAGGUAAAGAAACCCCGGCUAACUCCGUGCCAGCAGCCGCGGUAAUACGGAGGGGGUUAGCGUUGUUCGGAAUUACUGGGCGUAAAGCGCACGUAGGCGGAUCGGAAAGUUGGGGGUGAAAUCCCGGGGCUCAACCCCGGAACUGCCUCCAAAACUAUCGGUCUAGAGUUCGAGAGAGGUGAGUGGAAUUCCGAGUGUAGAGGUGAAAUUUGUAGAUAUUCGGAGGAACACCAGUGGCGAAGGCGGCUCACUGGCUCGAUCCUGACGCUGAGGUGCGAAAGUGUGGGGAGCAAACAGGAUUAGAUACCCUGGUAGUCCACACCGUAAACGAUGAAUGCCAGUCGUCGGAUAGCAUGCUAUUCGGUGACACACCUAACGGAUUAAGCAUUCCGCCUGGG
Molecule: ribosomal RNA, 470 nt
Filed under: Ruegeria sp. 8Bf2S48
Lineage: Bacteria; Pseudomonadati; Pseudomonadota; Alphaproteobacteria; Rhodobacterales; Roseobacteraceae
Description: bacterial SSU rRNA
Rfam family: Bacterial small subunit ribosomal RNA
Source: RNAcentral